AGGAGUGUGAGAGAGUCUGAGUGGGAAAGAUGGGGAGAGAGACUGAAUAAGGAGAGGAGAAAAAAGAUUGCUGUAAAGAGAGAACAAGGUUUUAAUGAUGUUUUGGGCCAUGAAACAACUGUGCGUGAUAUUUCACACACGUUGACAUAACUGUACAUCCCGUGCUUUUAUUAGCAACGAGUGUUGAGAGUGGCGAUGUAUAUGAAGACUUGGUGAAGAGAGUGAGAGACUGUUUGAAGUGGAAGAGUUUGUUGAGUAUUUGAGAGACUUUAACACGAGACAGUGCUCACAUCUGCUAAGAAUCUACAGUAUGCUUUAAUCAACACAAUCAGAGCGAGACUUGCAGAAUUUACAUGGACCACGGAUCUGAACAACACCAGAUAGCCCGUCGAGCACUGUGAGCUCAGUUGGUCCUCUGGCAGCAAGGGAGUGAAAUCAAUGGCAAUUUCACCACUGUUCGCUGGACAUCGGUUCAACCCUGGAUAUUGAGAUUAUUGCAUCGAUCUCAAAGCACCGCUUAUCAAGACCACCACCACAACAAACAAUUGCGUGAGGGAUUCACAUCAAUCUCAAACCCUCACCACUCAGGAACAACAAACAAUUUGCGAACCGGCUGGAUCCAGCUCCAUUCCUGCUUCGUGUUGGACUCCACUGCUACAUGUCGCUGAAUGAUGAUGACUAAAUGCAGCCGGUGCCAGCCAUACAUCACUUCAGUCUAUUAUGAUGGACUUCAGAGGAUGAACUGAUGCCAACUCCAACCUGCAUCACCUCGGUCUAUUGAUGGACUACGAUCUUGAAAUGGAAUGCAUAGACUAACUAUUGCCAACAAAAGCCUUCAUCAGCCAAUUAACAAGGACAAUUGCUUCUAUGUGAACUUCUGCAAUUAAUCAAGAUGGACUUCAAAGAUAUUGGUCAUUAAUCUUAGUUCAAACACAAUCGAUGUUUAAACACUGACCCUUAACACUUAGUUUAAUAAUUUUAAACCAUGAUUUUAACUAUACAUAAGCAAUAUUGGCAUUAUAUUCAUAAUGUUAGUCAGAGGGGAACUGGCCCCCACAGUGAUUUCUCCCAAGGUUAUUUUUCUCCAUUAAUCUACAUCUUAUGGAGUUUUGUGUUCCUUGCCACAGUCGCCUACAGCUUGCUCACUGGGGUUAUUAAUACAAUUAUUAUUUGAUUAUUUUUAAACACGAUUAAGAAUCUUAUUUUAUCUAAAUUACACAAUGAUGAUUCAUCGACAUUAUAGACAUUACAGUUUUAUCGUCUAAUAAAGAUGAUUUUCUGUAAAGCUGCUUUGAAACGAUGUGUGUUGUGAAAGGCGCUAUACAAAUAAAAUUGGCUUGACUUG
Molecule: long non-coding RNA, 1345 nt
Organism: Xyrauchen texanus (razorback sucker)
Lineage: Eukaryota; Metazoa; Chordata; Actinopteri; Cypriniformes; Catostomidae
Exons: 3
Source: RefSeq, a predicted model, not a curated record